AGAAUCAACGCUGGCGGCGUGCCUAACACAUGCAAGUCGAACGGGAAAGUGGAGCAAUCCAUGAGUAUAGUGGCGACCGGGUGAGUAACACGUGACUAACCUACCCUUGAGUGGGGGAUAACCUCGGGAAACCGGGCUAAUACCGCAUAAAAUCUUCGGGAUGAGAAGCUGAAGAUCAAAGGAGCAAUUCGCUUUCGGAGGGGGUCGCGGCUGAUUAGCUAGUUGGCGGGUAACGGCCCACCAAGGCUUUGAUCGGUA
RNAcentral lists this ribosomal RNA (258 nucleotides) under uncultured bacterium. RNAcentral describes it as "partial small subunit ribosomal RNA". It matches the Rfam family "Bacterial small subunit ribosomal RNA", at positions 26 to 285 of the family's 1533-position model. The record is from RNAcentral.